This 401-nucleotide long non-coding RNA is filed under the name Hordeum vulgare. RNAcentral describes it as "long non-coding RNA (HVUL_LNC012977)". The record is from RNAcentral. Lineage: Eukaryota; Viridiplantae; Streptophyta; Magnoliopsida; Poales; Poaceae.
AGUAUUUCUAGAUCUACAACACCUUACUAGCAUGACUUCAAUAUUACCAUAACCACAACUCAAAACCCACAACACCUUACUAGCAUUACUUCAAUAUUACCAUAACGACAACUCAAAACUAAUUGAGAUGAAUCAAACUUCUCUAACUAUUCAAUGCACAUGAAGGUGGAAGUUUUCGUAUCCCUUUGGAUAACUACUUUCAAAGCAUAGAUAAACUACCAAGCCACGCACCGCUGUGCUCUAAAAGAUAUAAGUGAAGCACAUAGAGCAAAAGUAUCUAGCUCAAAAGAUAUAAGUGAAGCACAUGUGAGCUGAAUUGUCUACCCAAAGAUAUAAGUGAAGCUCGACAAAAUCACGGUGAGUGCAUGUCUCUCUCUCUAGGUGUGCAGCAAGGAUGAUUG